This is a long non-coding RNA of Homo sapiens (human), 1188 nucleotides long. Ensembl annotates it as SCN1A and SCN9A antisense RNA 1. Its record names the gene SCN1A-AS1. The record is from Ensembl. NCBI's taxonomy places the organism in Eukaryota, Metazoa, Chordata, Mammalia, Primates, Hominidae.
GAGACUGAGUGAUGGUCCCUGCCUAGGAUUUGGAAUCUUUGCAUGAAAUAGGGACUCUAGCCACCAGCGACAAAGAAGUCAGGGAGACUGCGGUCUCUAGGAAGCACUUCCAGGAAACAGGAAUUCAGGCAAAGUUGGACAUUCCAAAGAUGGCGUAGAUGAACAUGACCAGGAAGAGCAGGAGGCCGAUGUUAAACAACGCAGGAAGGGACAUCAUCAAAGCAAAGAGCAGCGUGCGGAUCCCCUUUGCUCCUUUGACUAGACGUAGGAUUCGGCCAAUCCUGGCAAGACGGAUCACUCGGAACAGGGUAGCAGAGAUCUCUGGAGGUGAAACAUUGCUCUGAACUGGCAUUGAUUCUAGCCCAGCUCUUGUAGACCAAUUACCAACUUCUCCAUCUCCCUCCAGUGCCUGGAACUGGACCUGGCACACAGGCAAAGGGUUAUCAACUGUGCUGCACUCUGAGGAGCUUGACCGGUUUAAUCUCUAGAAAGGAAUUCACCACCCCACCAGCACGCGGAACACAAUCAGGAAGGAGUGGAAGAAGUCGUUCAUGUGCCACCGUGGGAGCGUACAGUCAUCAUUGAUCUUGCAGACACAUUCUUUGUAGCUCUUACCAAAGAGCUGCAUGCCGACCACAGCAAAAAUGAAGACGAUGAUGGCCAACACUAAGCCUUUAGACUAAAAAGAAAACAAAUAUUACAUACCCUGAAUCUGUGCUGAAACCACAAAGGAGAGCAUCUUUGGAUCCUUCCAAGUAAUAAAAAUAUUCUGUUGAAGAAGAAUUUGAACAGUUAUAACAUCACAGACUUUAAUCUGUGAUUGUGAUAAAGGAGGUCAAAUUAAAAAAUCUGAUUAUUGGGAGACUUUUGGAGUAAUCAUGGAAGAAAGACUAUGAAAUCAGAUAUUCUUGGAUUUGAAUGUUGCUUCUAUCCCUUCUUAAAGAAGCAGAGCUGGUGGAGAAUUCCCUGGCUGGAUUCAUCAGUCUUUGCUAUGGACAAGAGAAUACACAUAAGAAGAUAUUGAGACUUCCACGUUAAUCAAACUGAAAAGUAAGACAAGGAAUUCCAAAUCAGAGCCUAUUUUAGAACUAUGAGCAUUCAACUGAAAACGGGUCUCCAGAUUUCUGUGCUGCUCCAUUCUGUUGCCACCAACAAUUGAUAAUUGGUAUCAUUUUUGUGCAAGUGAGA